RNAcentral lists this ribosomal RNA (497 nucleotides) under uncultured bacterium. RNAcentral describes it as "partial 16S ribosomal RNA". It matches the Rfam family "Bacterial small subunit ribosomal RNA", at positions 28 to 507 of the family's 1533-position model. The record is from RNAcentral.
GAUGAACGCUGGCGGCGUGCCUAAUACAUGCCAGUCGAGCGAACAGACGAGGAGCUUGCUCCUCUGACGUUAGCGGCGGACGGGUGAGUAACACGUGGAUAACCUACCUAUAAGACUGGGUUAACUUCGGGAAACCGGAGCUAAUACCGGAUAAUAUAUUGAACCGCAUGGUUCAAUAGUGAAAGACGGUUUUGCUGUCACUUAUAGAUGGAUCCGCGCCGCAUUAGCUAGUUGGUAAGGUAACGGCUUACCAAGGCAACGAUGCGUAGCCGACCUGAGAGGGUGAUCGGCCACACUGGAACUGAGACACGGUCCAGACUCCUACGGGAGGCAGCAGUAGGGAAUCUUCCGCAAUGGGCGAAAGCCUGACGGAGCAACGCCGCGUGAGUGAUGAAGGUCUUCGGAUCGUAAAACUCUGUUAUUAGGGAAGAACAAAUGUGUAAGUAACUAUGCACGUCUUGACGGUACCUAAUCAGAAAGCCACGGCUAACUACGUG